Molecule: ribosomal RNA, 123 nt
Filed under: Sus scrofa (pig)
Lineage: Eukaryota; Metazoa; Chordata; Mammalia; Artiodactyla; Suidae
Source: RNAcentral
GUCUACGGCCAUACCACCCUGAAUGCACCUGAUCUCCCCUGAUCUCGAAAGCUAAGCAGGGUAGGGCCUGGUUAGUACUUUGAUGGCAGACUAAGAUAGGGAGAGCUGAGGUGGUCAUAGAGA